RNAcentral lists this long non-coding RNA (2395 nucleotides) under Anneissia japonica. RNAcentral describes it as "uncharacterized LOC117101132". Lineage: Eukaryota; Metazoa; Echinodermata; Crinoidea; Comatulida; Comatulidae. The record is from RNAcentral.
AAUCCUCCACACUCAUUUUGCGCAUUUGUAGUUGAAGAGCACUAGUUCUUGAUGCACCACAAGUAACAGAUAUCAAUUUGGUACGCUCUCUUCUUAUAUAACCAAUUAAUUACAUGACGGGAUUUUCAAAAUGUAUGUAUGUAUAUGUGUGUGUGUAUUUAGUCUGUUUACUCAAAACUGUAUUUAGUUCAUAUCUUUUUGUAUCAUGAUUUUUUGAAGUACUUUUUUGGAGAUUCUGUCUUGUUAAGAAGAACACGCAAGCGGAAGCUAUGGAUAAUUUUUUUUUUCGGUUAAAUUUAUACAGAAAUCUAUAUUUUUUUUCAAGCGUGUAAGUAGUACUUCAAUAAGUUAUGGUUGAAAUAGGUACAACAUAAAUAUUUAAAAAAAAACAACCUAAUAGUACGGCUAACAAUACACGUAAUACCGGUAAUUAUUCCAGCACUGAUUUGCUGGUAAAUCGGUAGGAAAUAUGUAUGUGAUUGUGAAUUCUAAAAAAAGACAAAGGGAAACAUGUGAUAUUUUAAAAAAUAUAUUAUUUAUCCCUAUUUCUAAUAAAUUCUCGCACUCAUUCGUCUUAUGGUCACCAAUUAUUAGGUAUUUUGAAAAAGGAAGCAACUGCAAGUAUGCCUGUACCCAAAAAUAUGCGAUGAGAAAACGAAAGUAGCUUCCUGCACCAAUCACAAUACACAACAUUUUGUUGGGACUAAAACACUACAAUAGGCGGCAUUAGAUGUUCUAUUAAUGCUACAGACCUACAUGUCAGUGGAAAGUCAGUAGAUUUUUAAAUAAUUUAGAUAGUUUAUUUUUGUCAGUUAAUAUGUUGUAAAUUAUUGUGCUACGUUCUUGCAACAGGUCGACAAUAAAAUUGUUUUCAAUGUAUCCCAACAUUUUGACCAGGAGCUUGCUUCACUUGGAAGAGAUCCCCGCCUGAACUGCCACAUUGUAACAGCGCCCCCGGAGAUUGGAUGGCCCGCAUUGCCGAGUGACACCGUGUACUAUUUUGUGAUUAGUGUGAUAUAUAGGCCACUGCCACUACGGGAAACUUUUUUAACAAACCUUAAAGUUGCAUGAAUUUAUAUUAUGCUACAACAUUGCCAUUAUUGCAUGACCUUUUUGGUAUACUAACCAAGAUUAGGCACACAUAAAAUUUGUCGAGGAAACGCCUUUUCAAUAAGAUAAGCAUUAUUCUUCUUAGGAUCCUCCUUAUCUUGCUUAAAUGCAACGGGGAAUUCUAAUCAACGCGUCCGUGUCGUCGAAGAUGAGCGAUAGCGUUAAUGAAACAUGAUUAGUUUCUGGAUUAAAAAGCAUAGACAAUGCUUGCUACAAUGUCAAGUUCUAUUGCGUUUUUUUGCAACACAAAACUAAACUAGUAUAACGUUUUUAUCGUCUUGUAAUAGUAACCACCAAGGUCAAAAAUAAAAUAGUUUUCAAACCCGGAUGCAAGGUAAAACAUUAUGCUAAGGAUAGACAAAGUAAUACUAGCUAAUGAGAGAUUUACGAAUUAGGUCUGGAUUGCUAUAGUCUAGGUCAUAAUCGGCAGUGGCAUACGCAGAUUGAUAUAAUAUUGAACACCGAAUGAGGUUGGGAUCAUACACAUUGUGUGUCAAAUCCAUAGAAUUGCAUGACUCAAAAUUAAUGUAGUGUAUAUAAUAAAUAUUUAAAAUAGGAUAGAAAAUGAGUUAAAUGCAUGACUUACCCUGCGUGUAGCCUGGUUUAUAUGGGAAUGCUUCGCAUGUAAGUUUAAAAAUGCAAUCAGAAAAAGACCCAUUAAAACCAUGCCAUUUUCACUCUAAUUUAUUGAGUCGUUUCAUGUAAAAAUAGUCAAGUCAAUCUAUAAUUAUGCACUUCAUUUUAGUAGACCAAAGCAUUGAAGAUUAUCCGUUUUAUUCUCCCUUAGUGUUUAAUAAUUUACAUAAAUAUUAGAACAUUUAACUUUGAGUAUUUGUGUGUGGUGUUGCUUAUUCCUGGCUCAGGGCAGCCCAUUUUCUUUCAGACAAAUUCGCUUAAAUAGUUCUUUUCGUUACAUCGGAGUAGAGCAUGAAACAACGCUGCAACGAUGUCGGUUGGUGGAUUCCCCUCCCUUAUCACCGAUGUCAUUUUACCGGCUCAGACGAUCUCGUUUAAAAAAAAUAAUCAAAUAAUUUAAUUGAAUUUUUAGCCUCCUCCUUACUUCCUCGCUAGAUGAUUUUUAAGAUACUGUCUGUCGAAUAAUAAGCUUGCAAGAAUAAAGUUCAAUAUUUGAAUUGCAUGAUUUUAUAUUUGAACCUUAAUAAUUUAUUGACUUAGCUUGUCAUGCAGUUAACAUAAAGAAUGCCUGUAUUAUAAUAUAUUAUCUUAUAUAGAUAUAUAUAUUUAUAUAUAUAUAAUCUUAUAUAUAUUUAUAUAUAUAUUUGUA